Acanthosepion pharaonis is the source of this 79-nucleotide non-coding RNA. The record is from the annotation of a GenBank genome assembly. NCBI's taxonomy places the organism in Eukaryota, Metazoa, Mollusca, Cephalopoda, Sepiida, Sepiidae.
UACGAUCAUCGAAGUUAAGCAACGUCGAGUCUGGUCAGUACCUAGAUGGGUGACCGCUUGGGAAUAUCGGGUGCUGUAA